CUGUUCAAUAUGUUUACUGGCAUUAAAACAUUUUAAAUAAAAUUUCUAAAUGAUAAAACUAACAAAACAUUACUGUUUUUUUGUGUAUUCAUGUUUUAAGGAAGGAAAACAAACUAGCAUUCUUGACACGACUCGACAUCUAUACUUUGCUUAGUUGACAAAGCAGCACAUCGACUUUACCCAUUUGUCAACCAUGAUAAUUGUUGAAUGAAACAAACGUACUUGCCACAGGUUUACCACUAAACAACUAAUUGACAAGUUUAGUUUUAAAACUGAACGAUUUU
RNAcentral lists this long non-coding RNA (284 nucleotides) under Mytilus galloprovincialis (Mediterranean mussel). The record is from RNAcentral. Lineage: Eukaryota; Metazoa; Mollusca; Bivalvia; Mytilida; Mytilidae.